Molecule: long non-coding RNA, 1094 nt
Filed under: Gopherus agassizii (Agassiz's desert tortoise)
Lineage: Eukaryota; Metazoa; Chordata; Testudines; Testudinidae
Description: lncRNA (ENSGAGG00000022798.1)
Source: RNAcentral
UGCUGAGAGACGAAGGAUGAGAUGCAGGAAUGAGGUCCCAUUCCAGGCACUGAGCAGGGUGUUGUGGUGGGCGCAGACUUUUCUGCCCCCUUUUCCCAAGUGUGACCUUUUCUGUCCUGUCCCCUCCAACCUGUCCCUGUCUUGGGCCUGUCUCUUCCCUGCCUCGACUUCUUGUCCCAUUCGCCAUGCCUAGCCAGUCCUAGUCUCCAUUCCUUGGGCUUCUCGUAUCAGUCCCAGUUUCCUUGCCCAGCACGUACCAGUCUCACCCCUCUGGACUCACUGGCCCAGUCACCUGCCACUCCCAUUUCCGGGCUCCAUGUCCAGCUAGUCCCAGUUCUCCACCUCCCAGCUUCUCGUCCAAUCUGUGCUCCCCCCCUCCCCGCCGCCCACAUUUCCCAUCGCCCUGUCAGUCCCAAUCUCCCUCCCGGGAUACUUGUGUGUCCUCAGAGUCCCCUUGUCCCUGCCCAGCCACUCCCAGUCUCCCGUCCCUGGCUCCUCAUCCAAUCACAGUCUCUCCCUCUAUGUACUGCCUCCCAGUCCCAAUCUCCUUCCCCAGCCAGUCCCAGUCUUCCCCCGGCCCCAGCUCUUGCUCUCUGCCAGCCUCGAGUCCCAGGUUUUGCCCCAUCCCCCAAGCUCCUGUCCCAAAUCUAUUCCCUGCUACCCGCUCCCCAGUCCAGCCCUUGUCCCCUGCCUCCUCCGUGUUGCCUGGGCACUGAGAGCCCAGAACAGAGGGUCUCCCAGUCCCAGCGCUGGACCUGGCACGGCCUCCAGCAGCCGAGCUGCAAUUGCCAGGAAAGUCCUGCUCAGCCUGGGCUGCACUGUGCCAGGUAACCAUGGAGCCUUGCAGGCGUUUCGCUGCUAAGAAUCCUCUACUGAACAGGUGCAAAGUGCAGUUUCUCGAAGGCUUAUAAAUUGGCCUAUUUGGGGUGGGUAUUCCUGGGGCUGGCAAAAGGCACAUCCCCAGGGCCAGUGCAACCAUUUAGGCGACCUAGGUGGUCACCUAGGUCACUAGGAUUUGGGGGGCACCAUUUUCUUCAGCGGCGACCGCAGCGGCCAGAUCUUCAGCCGCCCUGGUCGCCACCGGCAUUUAGGCG